RNAcentral lists this ribosomal RNA (435 nucleotides) under uncultured bacterium. RNAcentral describes it as "bacterial SSU rRNA". It matches the Rfam family "Bacterial small subunit ribosomal RNA", at positions 28 to 489 of the family's 1533-position model. The record is from RNAcentral.
GACGAACGCUGGCGGCGUGCUUAACACAUGCAAGUCACGGGGGCCCAGCAAUGGGUAACCGGCGAACGGGUGCGUAACACGUGAGCAACCUGCCGAUCUGAGGGGGAUAGCCGGCCCAACGGCCGGGUAAUACCGCAUACGGUUUGUGAGGGACAUCCCUGACGAACGAAACCUCCGGGGCAGAUCGAGGGGCUCGCGGCCUAUCAGCUAGUUGGUGCGGGUAACGGCCCACCAAGGCGACGACGGGUAGCUGGUCUGAGAGGAUGGCCAGCCACAUUGGGACUGAGAGACGGCCCAGACUCCUACGGGAGGCAGCAGUGGGGAAUCUUGCGCAAUGGCCGAAAGGCUGACGCAGCGACGUCGCGUGGGGGAUGAAGGCUCUCGGGUUGUAACCCUUUUGUCGAGGAAGAAAAAUAGACGGUACUCGACGAAUAA